This 454-nucleotide ribosomal RNA is filed under the name uncultured bacterium. RNAcentral's name for it is "bacterial SSU rRNA". It matches the Rfam family "Bacterial small subunit ribosomal RNA", at positions 340 to 786 of the family's 1533-position model. The record is from RNAcentral.
UACGGAAGGCAGCAGUGGGGAAUAUUGCACAAUGGGCGCAAGCCUGAUGCAGCCAUGCCGCGUGUAUGAAGAAGGCCUUCGGGUUGUAAAGUACUUUCAGCGGGGAGGAAGGCGGUGGAGUUAAUAGCUUCACCGAUUGACGUUACCCGCAGAAGAAGCACCGGCUAACUCCGUGCCAGCAGCCGCGGUAAUACGGAGGGUGCAAGCGUUAAUCGGAAUUACUGGGCGUAAAGCGCACGCAGGCGGUCUGUCAAGUCGGAUGUGAAAUCCCCGGGCUUAACCUGGGAACUGCAUUCGAAACUGGCAGGCUAGAGUCUUGUAGAGGGGGUAGAAUUCCAGGUGUAGCGGUGAAAUGCGUAGAGAUCUGGAGGAAUACCGGUGGCGAAGGCGGCCCCUGGGACAAAGACUGACGCUCAGGGUGCGAAAGCGUGGGGAGCAAACAGGAUUAGAUACC